This 253-nucleotide ribosomal RNA is filed under the name uncultured bacterium. Its description in RNAcentral is "partial 16S ribosomal RNA". It matches the Rfam family "Bacterial small subunit ribosomal RNA", at positions 524 to 777 of the family's 1533-position model. The record is from RNAcentral.
UACGUAGGGGGCGAGCGUUGUCCGGAGUUACUGGGCGUAAAGCGCACGCAGGCGGUCUGCUAAGUUUGGAGUGACAGUUGGUGGCUUAACUGCCAAAGUGCUUCGAAAACUGACAGACUUGAGGGCUUCAGAGGGACACGGAAUCCGGGUGGAGUGGUGAAAUGCGUAGAGAUCCGGAGGAACACCAAAGGCGAAGGCAGUGUCCUGGGGAGUACCUGACGCUCAGGUGCGAAAGCCAGGGGAGCGAACGGGG